Triticum dicoccoides is the source of this 406-nucleotide long non-coding RNA. RefSeq lists it as uncharacterized. The transcript has 2 exons. NCBI's taxonomy places the organism in Eukaryota, Viridiplantae, Streptophyta, Magnoliopsida, Poales, Poaceae. The record is from RefSeq and is a predicted model, not a curated record.
GGGACAUCGGAGCCGUCGGUGAUAUUGGAGGAAUCAAUCUAGCCGACCAUCCUUUGAAUGACACAGUUUUGCUACCUCCCACUGAUAACCUUUAGGAGCUAUGGAGAGGAGGGUUAGGAGGGAAGCGAGCCAGCGGCGUGAAGAGAAAAUGUUAGGGUCACAAUAGCAAACAAGUUCAUCUUGCCUGGGUUGCGCUGAUAAGAAAGAAGAUAGAGCUUCAGGUGAGGCAUAUCGUCCCUAGGAAUUUGUUGGUAUCGAGGAUUGUUCCAGGAAGCACUUCUGAUGACAACAUGAUGUUGGGCCUCGGGGACAUGGUAACCAACAGAAACAUAUUGAAGCACAUUGUUGUCAUCAUCCACUUAGUGCCCGCCGGGUCACGCUCAGCAGCAACGGUGCACGGCGAUGG